UGGGGAAUCUUCCGCAAUGGACGAAAGUCUGACGGAGCAACGCCGCGUGAGUGAAGAAGGUUUUCGGAUCGUAAAACUCUGUCUUUUGGGGCGAACGUGAGUAUGGUGAACAAUCAUAGUCAGUGACGGUACCAAAGGAGGAAGCCACGGCUAACUACGUGCCAGCAGCCGCGGUAAUACGUAGGUGGCAAGCGUUGUCCGGAAUUAUUGGGCGUAAAGAGCGCGUAGGCGGGAUAGUCAGUCUGUUGUAAAGUGCGGGGCUCAACCCCGUGAUGGCAAUGGAAACAGCUAUUCUUGAGUGCAGGAGAGGAAAGUGGAAUUCCCAGUGUAGCGGUGAAAUGCGUAGAUAUUGGGAGGAACACCAGUGGCGAAGGCGACUUUCUGGACUGUGUCUGACGCUGAGGCGCGAAAGCCAGGGGAGCGAACGGGAUUAGAUACCCCGGUAGUCCUGGCCGUAAACGAUGGGUACUAGGUGUGGGAGGUAUCGACCCCCUUCCGUGCCGGAGUUAACGCAAUAAGUACCCCGCCUGGGGAGUACGGUCGCAAGAUUAAAACUCAAAUGAAUUGACGGGGUCAUAGCUGUUUCCUG
This 589-nucleotide ribosomal RNA is filed under the name uncultured bacterium. RNAcentral describes it as "partial 16S ribosomal RNA". It matches the Rfam family "Bacterial small subunit ribosomal RNA", at positions 355 to 1376 of the family's 1533-position model. The record is from RNAcentral.